CUAUACAUGCAAGUCGAGCGGACCGACGGGAGCUUGCUCCCUUAGGUCAGCGGCGGACGGGUGAGUAACACGUGGGUAACCUGCCUGUAAGACUGGGAUAACUCCGGGAAACCGGGGCUAAUACCGGAUGCUUGAUUGAACCGCAUGGUUCAAUCAUAAAAGGUGGCUUUUAGCUACCACUUGCAGAUGGACCCGCGGCGCAUUAGCUAGUUGGUGAGGUAACGGCUCACCAAGGCGACGAUGCGUAGCCGACCUGAGAGGGUGAUCGGCCACACUGGGACUGAGACACGGCCCAGACUCCUACGGGAGGCAGCAGUAGGGAAUCUUCCGCAAUGGACGAAAGUCUGACGGAGCAACGCCGCGUGAGUGAUGAAGGUUUUCGGAUCGUAAAACUCUGUUGUUAGGGAAGAACAAGUACCGUUCGAAUAGGGCGGCACCUUGACGGUACCUAACCAGAAAGCCACGGCUAACUACGUGCCAGCAGCCGCGGUAAUACGUAGGUGGCAAGCGUUGUCCGGAAUUAUUGGGCGUAAAGCGCGCGCAGGCGGUUUCUUAAGUCUGAUGUGAAAGCCCCCGGCUCAACCGGGGAGGGUCAUUGGAAACUGGGGAACUUGAGUGCAGAAGAGGAGAGUGGAAUUCCACGUGUAGCGGUGAAAUGCGUAGAGAUGUGGAGGAACACCAGUGGCGAAGGCGACUCUCUGGUCUGUAACUGACGCUGAGGCGCG
This 725-nucleotide ribosomal RNA is filed under the name Bacillus subtilis. Its description in RNAcentral is "bacterial SSU rRNA". It matches the Rfam family "Bacterial small subunit ribosomal RNA", at positions 49 to 755 of the family's 1533-position model. Lineage: Bacteria; Bacillati; Bacillota; Bacilli; Caryophanales; Bacillaceae. The record is from RNAcentral.